GUCCUAGCUGUAAACGGUGCACGUUUGCUGUAAGAGGAAUCGACCCCUUUUGUGGCGAAGCUAACGCGUUAAACGUGCCGCCUGGGAAGUACGGUAGCAAGAUUAAAACUCAAAGAAAUUGACGGGGGCCUGCACAAGCGGUGGAGUAUGUGGCUUAAUUCGAUGCAACGCGAAGAACCUUACCUGGCCUUGACAUGUACGUAGUAGAAGGGUGAAAGCCUGACGAGGUAGCAAUACCAGCGUACACAGGUGCUGCAUGACUGUCGU
RNAcentral lists this ribosomal RNA (267 nucleotides) under uncultured bacterium. RNAcentral describes it as "partial 16S ribosomal RNA". It matches the Rfam family "Bacterial small subunit ribosomal RNA", at positions 793 to 1055 of the family's 1533-position model. The record is from RNAcentral.